This 21-nucleotide microRNA is filed under the name Hydra vulgaris (swiftwater hydra). Its description in RNAcentral is "hma-miR-2030". Lineage: Eukaryota; Metazoa; Cnidaria; Hydrozoa; Anthoathecata; Hydridae. The record is from miRBase by way of RNAcentral.
CGUCUUACACUGCUGUGCUAC